Molecule: ribosomal RNA, 505 nt
Filed under: uncultured bacterium
Lineage: Bacteria
Description: partial 16S ribosomal RNA
Rfam family: Bacterial small subunit ribosomal RNA
Source: RNAcentral
GACGAACGCUGGCGGCGUGCCUAAUACAUGCAAGUAGAACGCACAGUUUAUACCGUAGCUUGCUACACCAUAGACUGUGAGUUGCGAACGGGUGAGUAACGCGUAGGUAACCUGCCUGGUAGCGGGGGAUAACUAUUGGAAACGAUAGCUAAUACCGCAUAAUAUUAAUUAUUGCAUGAUAAUUAAUUGAAAGGUGCAAUUGCACCACUACCAGAUGGACCUGCGUUGUAUUAGCUAGUAGGUGAGGUAACGGCUCACCUAGGCGACGAUACAUAGCCGACCUGGGAGGGUGAUCGGCCACACUGGGACUGCGACACGGCCCAGACUCCUACGGGAGGCAGCAGUAGGGAAUCUUCGGCAAUGGACGAAAGUCUGACCGAGCAACGCCGCGUGAGUGAAGAAGGUUUUCGGAUCGUAAAGCUCUGUUGUAAGAGAAGAACGGGUGUGAGAGUGGAAAGUUCACACUGUGACGGUAUCUUACCAGAAAGGGACGGCUAACUACGUG